This 30-nucleotide non-coding RNA is filed under the name Mus musculus (house mouse). Lineage: Eukaryota; Metazoa; Chordata; Mammalia; Rodentia; Muridae. The record is from RNAcentral.
UUGAAUCUUCUUUUUGAUUCGGGGACUUAC